CAUACAUAUAGCUUAAC
This 17-nucleotide transfer RNA is filed under the name Gastrotheca christiani (Christian's marsupial frog). RNAcentral describes it as "partial tRNA-Val". The record is from RNAcentral. Lineage: Eukaryota; Metazoa; Chordata; Amphibia; Anura; Hemiphractidae.